UGGAUAACUAACGAAUUCAUGCAUUCUGGUCUGCGCACUGCAGGGAGCCAAGUGAUGUGGUCUGGUUUUUAUGUUAUGCGAUUGAAUUACUUGGAAAUGGGCAUUUCUACAUUUUUUUUCUGUUUAAUUUCGGUGGUGUUGUUUUGAGAUUUGAACUGUAGCUACUUUGUUGUGUUUUGAGUUCGUUUAUGAAUGUAUUAGAGUGGUAGCUUCGCUUCAUCUGAAAACCUGGUGGCAUUAUCACUUACCACACAUGUACUGCCCUCCUUCACGUCUAUAAAUACCUCUGAAUAUUACUUUCAAGUUCUUAUUGAAAGUUUUUUUUUUUUUUUUUUUUAACUUUGAAAUUGCUAUGGGUUGGUAACACAUACAACUUUGCUCAUACCAGGAAGUCUAUAGUUUUACCUCUUGUGUUCAAUUUUUCCAUCCCUAGUUUUAAUUGAUAUUAACCUGUAAUAAAACUAAUUGCUAGACAGCACUACAGAAUAUCAACAGUGAGUAAUCAGGCUAUUUUACAAUUUUUAUUGUUAAGCUUGGUUCCUUACUUAUAUCGAAUUGCAAUAUAUUUUGUCGCACUGUCAAGUAGUACUUCUCCCAUGCGUUUUUAUGGUGAAAAAAAAAAUGAGGUUCUUAUCAUGACCUAUAAUUAUCUGAUUCUAG
This 660-nucleotide long non-coding RNA is filed under the name Prunus persica (peach). Its description in RNAcentral is "long non-coding RNA (PPER_LNC002630)". Lineage: Eukaryota; Viridiplantae; Streptophyta; Magnoliopsida; Rosales; Rosaceae. The record is from RNAcentral.